This 253-nucleotide ribosomal RNA is filed under the name uncultured bacterium. Its description in RNAcentral is "partial 16S ribosomal RNA". It matches the Rfam family "Bacterial small subunit ribosomal RNA", at positions 524 to 776 of the family's 1533-position model. The record is from RNAcentral.
UACGAAGGGGGCUAGCGUUGCUCGGAAUCACUGGGCGUAAAGCGCACGUAGGCGGCUUUCUAAGUCAGGGGUGAAAUCCUGGAGCUCAACUCCAGAACUGCCCUUGAUACUGGAAAGCUUGAGUUCGGGAGAGGUGAGUGGAACUGCGAGUGUAGAGGUGAAAUGCGUAGAUAUCGAGAGGAACACCUGCGGCGAAGGCGGGUAGCUGGGCCGACACUGACGCUGAGGCGCGAAAGCCAGGGGAGCGAACGGG